This 269-nucleotide long non-coding RNA is filed under the name Lathyrus oleraceus (garden pea). Its description in RNAcentral is "Pisum sativum (pea) long non-coding RNA (PSAT_LNC037864)". Lineage: Eukaryota; Viridiplantae; Streptophyta; Magnoliopsida; Fabales; Fabaceae. The record is from RNAcentral.
UUAUUGUUGCUGAGGUUGCUGAUGAUAAUAUUGUUGUUGUUAUUGUUGAAUUGGAAUUGCGAAAUGUUGUUAUUGUUGUUGGACUGGCGCUAUAAAGGAGACUUGAUGAUACAUGACACGGUAUGUUGGGUCUCUUACUCUGAUUACUGCGGUUGCAUUUUCUUCUCCUUCCCUUUUCUUUAUAUACGCGACAAAGGGUUUCUUUACAACACUAGAGGUGCUUGCAGAAUUCUUGAUUUUCCCCAUCUUUAUCAUAUUUUUAAUUCUUU